GGAUGCUUGCAUGGUCCUACCGCCAGGACAGUAGGACCAAGGGCACACGCUCAGGCCGGGCCUGGGAGCUCAGAGGCAGAUCAAACAUGUCAUCUUUUUGUAGCAACUUCUGGAAAACCGUGUAGAAAAUGGCUCAGUUUGUCUGAUGACACUGUGCAGCACAUGGCCGUGGAUGUGCUCAUCACUGGCACCUACGCUCGUUGCAUGUGACACACCUGGAGGUCCUGUUGGAGGUCAAACAAAGGUCACCCUGCGAAACGAACACUGGCGAUACAUCGUUACAUGUUCCGUCAAGUGGUCAUGAGAUUGGUGGGCGUAGCAGCUGCAUUGCUUUAGUGUCGUCUUGGAUGUCUCUGAAUCAACCCGCUUCAAACCUAACUGUAAGU
Patiria miniata (bat star) is the source of this 386-nucleotide long non-coding RNA. RefSeq lists it as uncharacterized. The record is from RefSeq and is a predicted model, not a curated record. NCBI's taxonomy places the organism in Eukaryota, Metazoa, Echinodermata, Asteroidea, Valvatida, Asterinidae. The transcript is spliced from 3 exons.